RNAcentral lists this non-coding RNA (139 nucleotides) under pig gut metagenome. Its description in RNAcentral is "glmS glucosamine-6-phosphate activated ribozyme". It matches the Rfam family "glmS glucosamine-6-phosphate activated ribozyme aptamer". Rfam says of the family: This entry contains a glucosamine-6-phosphate activated ribozyme that is found in the mRNA for GlmS. The record is from RNAcentral.
UAAAUUAGCGCCAGGACUAUUGAUAGUUGACGAGGUAAGUAGUUAUCGAAUUUUCGGCGGAUGCUACUUUGGGUUUAUAUGCUCAUUAGGUUACUCUGAAAAAGCAAAAUUAAGAUUGUAACAAAAUAGUAAUUACAUA